GAGGGUAUAGCUCAGUGGUAGUGUGUGUGCUUAACAUGCAUGAGGUCCUGAGUUCAACCCCAGUACCUCCA
RNAcentral lists this transfer RNA (71 nucleotides) under Camelus bactrianus (Bactrian camel). It matches the Rfam family "tRNA". From Rfam's summary of the family: Transfer RNA (tRNA) molecules are approximately 80 nucleotides in length. Their secondary structure includes four short double-helical elements and three loops (D, anti-codon, and T loops). RNAcentral also lists the same sequence under 2 other names. The record is from Rfam by way of RNAcentral. Lineage: Eukaryota; Metazoa; Chordata; Mammalia; Artiodactyla; Camelidae.